CGUGUAGGCGGCUGGGUAAGUCAGAUGUGAAAGUCCCGGGCUUAACUCGGGAAGUGCAUUUGAUACUGCUCAGCUAGAGUAAGGGAGAGGAAAGUGGAAUUCCUGGUGUAGGGGUGAAAUUCGUAGAUAUCAGGAGGAACACCGGAGGCGAAGGCGGCUUUCUGGCCCUAUACUGACGCUGAGACGCGAAAGCGUGGGGAGCAAACAGGAUUAGAUACCCUGGUAGUCC
This 229-nucleotide ribosomal RNA is filed under the name uncultured bacterium. Its description in RNAcentral is "partial 16S ribosomal RNA". It matches the Rfam family "Bacterial small subunit ribosomal RNA", at positions 568 to 796 of the family's 1533-position model. The record is from RNAcentral.